This 479-nucleotide ribosomal RNA is filed under the name uncultured bacterium. Its description in RNAcentral is "bacterial SSU rRNA". It matches the Rfam family "Bacterial small subunit ribosomal RNA", at positions 28 to 526 of the family's 1533-position model. The record is from RNAcentral.
AACGAACGCUGGCGGCAUGUUUAACACAUGCAAGUCGAACGGGAUGUCUUGGCCUCGGCCGGGACAUUCAGUGGCGGACGGGUGAGUAACGCGUGGGAACGUGUCCGGAAGUGGGGAACAACCGCUGGAAACGGCGGCUAAUACCGCAUACGCCCCCGUGCUUGGCACGGGGGGAAAGGCUUCGGCCGCUUUCGGAGGGGCCCGCGUCCGAUUAGCUGGUUGGUGGGGUAACGGCCUACCAAGGCUGCGAUCGGUAGCUGGUCUGAGAGGACGAUCGGCCACACUGGGACUGAGACACGGCCCAGACUCCUACGGGAGGCAGCAGUGGGGAAUAUUGGACAAUGGGGGCAACCCUGAUCCAGCAAUGCCGCGUGAGUGAUGAAGGCCUUAGGGUUGUAAAGCUCUUUCGCCCGAGACGAUGAUGACGGUAUCGGGAGAAGAAGCCCCGGCUAAUUCCGUGCCAGCCGCCGCAGUAAAAC